This 425-nucleotide ribosomal RNA is filed under the name uncultured bacterium. RNAcentral describes it as "partial 16S ribosomal RNA". It matches the Rfam family "Bacterial small subunit ribosomal RNA", at positions 354 to 796 of the family's 1533-position model. The record is from RNAcentral.
GUGGGGAAUCUUAGACAAUGGGCGCAAGCCUGAUCUAGCCAUGCCGCGUGAGCGAUGAAGGCCUUAGGGUUGUAAAGCUCUUUCAGUGGGGACGAUAAUGACGGUACCCACAGAAGAAGCCCCGGCUAACUUCGUGCCAGCAGCCGCGGUAAUACGAAGGGGGCUAGCGUUGUUCGGAUUUACUGGGCGUAAAGCGCACGUAGGCGGAUCGUUAAGUCGGGGGUGAAAUCCUGGAGCUCAACUCCAGAACUGCCUUCGAUACUGGCGAUCUUGAGUACGGAAGAGGUGAGUGGAACUCCUAGUGUAGAGGUGGAAUUCGUAGAUAUUAGGAAGAACACCAGUGGCGAAGGCGGCUCACUGGUCCGGUACUGACGCUGAGGUGCGAAAGCGUGGGGAGCAAACAGGAUUAGAUACCCGUGUAGUCC